UGCCCUAGUAACGGCGAGUGAAGCGGCAACAGCUCAAAUUUGAAAUCUGGCUCUCGGGCCCGAGUUGUAAUUUGUAGAGGAUACUUUUGAUGCGGUGCCUUCCGAGUUCCCUGGAACGGGACGCCAUAGAGGGUGAGAGCCCCGUCUGGUUGGAUGCCAAAUCUCUGUAAAGUUCCUUCGACGAGUCGAGUAGUUUGGGAAUGCUGCUCUAAAUGGGAGGUAUAUGUCUUCUAAAGCUAAAUACCGGCCAGAGACCGAUAGCGCACAAGUAGAGUGAUCGAAAGAUGAAAAGCACUUUGAAAAGAGAGUUAAAAAGUACGUGAAAUUGUUGAAAGGGAAGCGUUUAUGACCAGACUUGGGCUUGGUUGAUCAUCUGGGGUUCUCCCCAGUGCACUCUUCCAGUCCAGGCCAGCAUCAGUUUUCGCCGGGGGAUAAAGACUUCGGGAAUGUGGCUCUCUUCGGGGAGUGUUAUAGCCCGUUGUGUAAUACCCUGGCGGGGACUGAGGUUCGCGCAUCUGCAAGGAUGCUGGCGUAAUGGUCAUCAACGACCCGUCUUGAAACACGGACCAAGGAGUCGUCUUCGUAUGCGAGUGUUCGGGUGUCAAACCCCUACGCGUAAUGAAAGUGAACGCAGGUGAGAGCUUCGGCGCAUCAUCGACCGAUCCUGAUGUUCUCGGAUGGAUUUGAGUAAGAGCAUACGGGGCCGGACCCGAAAGAAGGUGAACUAUGCCUGUAUAGGGUGAAGCCAGAGGAAACUCUGGUGGAGGCUCGCAGCGGUUCUGACGUGCAAAUCGAUCGUCAAAUAUGGGCAUG
RNAcentral lists this ribosomal RNA (813 nucleotides) under Fusarium sp. BCCM/IHEM 5391. RNAcentral describes it as "eukaryotic LSU rRNA". It matches the Rfam family "Eukaryotic large subunit ribosomal RNA", at positions 76 to 919 of the family's 3401-position model. Lineage: Eukaryota; Fungi; Ascomycota; Sordariomycetes; Hypocreales; Nectriaceae. The record is from RNAcentral.